Non-coding RNA from Vicia faba (fava bean), 282 nucleotides. Lineage: Eukaryota; Viridiplantae; Streptophyta; Magnoliopsida; Fabales; Fabaceae. The record is from the annotation of a GenBank genome assembly.
AUGCUCUUUCCUUCUCCUCUCCCUCAUACAACGACGGUACAACAAUCUUUUCAAAACCUUCUUUUCCGAUCAAACACCGUCGUUUCUCUCCGAUCUCGCCGCCGUAGUUGUUCUUCCCUAUUCGAUUCUGUUCUCGUGGUUCGUUCCAGCUUCACCGUGUCAGCUUCCGAUUUCAACUUAUUGGAUCCUCUUCGACGCAAUUUCUCACACAACCACUCAGUUUCCGUCUCAGUCACUUCAAUCCAGUCAACACAAGUGAAAACAGUAUACGAUGAGGAAUAG